GAGCGGAUGAUGGGAGCUUGCUCCUGGAUUCAGCGGCGGACGGGUGAGUAAUGCCUAGGAAUCUGCCUGGUAGUGGGGGACAACGUUUCGAAAGGAACGCUAAUACCGCAUACGUCCUACGGGAGAAAGCAGGGGACCUUCGGGCCUUGCGCUAUCAGAUGAGCCUAGGUCGGAUUAGCUAGUUGGUGGGGUAAAGGCUCACCAAGGCGACGAUCCGUAACUGGUCUGAGAGGAUGAUCAGUCACACUGGAACUGAGACACGGUCCAGACUCCUACGGGAGGCAGCAGUGGGGAAUAUUGGACAAUGGGCGAAAGCCUGAUCCAGCCAUGCCGCGUGUGUGAAGAAGGUCUUCGGAUUGUAAAGCACUUUAAGUUGGGAGGAAGGGCAGUAAGCUAAUACCUUGCUGUUUUGACGUUACCGACAGAAUAAGCACCGGCUAACUCUGUGCCAGCAGCCGCGGUAAUACAGAGGGUGCAAGCGUUAAUCGGAAUUACUGGGCGUAAAGCGCGCGUAGGUGGUUUGUUAAGUUGGAUGUGAAAGCCCCGGGCUCAACCUGGGAACUGCAUCCAA
This 571-nucleotide ribosomal RNA is filed under the name Pseudomonas putida. RNAcentral describes it as "bacterial SSU rRNA". It matches the Rfam family "Bacterial small subunit ribosomal RNA", at positions 64 to 630 of the family's 1533-position model. Lineage: Bacteria; Pseudomonadati; Pseudomonadota; Gammaproteobacteria; Pseudomonadales; Pseudomonadaceae. The record is from RNAcentral.